CCUGCCCACAGGGCCAGGCCGCCUCUAGCCCCACUACUCGAGACCCUGCCCAGAGGUAAGGGAGGCAGGGUGGGGGAGCCCUGGCCACCUUGCCCGCCAUGCCCUGAGCCACAUCCCUCCCCCUGCAGGGUGGUGCUGGUGUUGCGGGAACGCUGGCAUUUCUGCCGGGACGGCAGGGUGCUGCUGGGCUCGAGAGCCCUGAGGGAGCGGCACCUAGGCCUGAUGGGCUACCAGCUCCUGCCGGUGAGUGGCCCUGGCCUGGCCCGUGGCGUAUCCUCACUCCGGGCCUGCGGGUAACCUGCCGCCAUCUCCUCUCCCCACAGCUACCCUUCGAGGAACUGGAGUCCCAGAGAGGCCUGCCCCAGCUCAAGAGCUACCUGAGGCAGAAGCUCCAGGCCCUGGGCCUGCGCUGGGGGCCUGAAGGGGGCUGAGGGGAUGAUGUGGGGUUCAGGAUGGCCCCCCCAUGGGGGGUGGAUGAUUUGCACUUUGGUUCCCUAUGUUUUGAUUUCUCAUUAAAGUUCCUUUCCUUC
Molecule: small RNA, 530 nt
Filed under: Pongo abelii (Sumatran orangutan)
Lineage: Eukaryota; Metazoa; Chordata; Mammalia; Primates; Hominidae
Description: retained intron
Source: RNAcentral